UUGUCUUUUUGCACCACGUAGACACGGGCCGUUGUUCGUUUAUUUGUUUUAUUGUUUUGGCUAAUGUUUCACUUUGGAAUAAAUAUGUGGAACUCAAUAUCCGCUGUGCCUUGGUCCGUCUCUCCACACGAUCGUGACAAAUAGUCUGGGCGUGUGAUCAAGACAUGGGUUUUGAGAGAGCUUGAGCUGACAAUGACUCAGUGAUAAAAAUCCAUUAGCCGGCAUUCCAUAGACAAAUGUGGUGUGUGUGACCUGAGAUGGAGCCUGAAAGAGUUUGGAACAAUCCCUAAUUGGUCUAAUCAUCCUGGCAUCUGGGAAACAAAGCCGGGGUCAAGUUCAAAUGGCACUGGGUUGAGAGAACCACAGGAUGAACCCAGGAUGGCUUAUGGUGUCCCCGAUCAGCAUGGGAGGAUUUUGACUAAGGAUUUUAGUGUCAACCAUAUAAAAACUUUGCAUUGUCUGUAAAGUUUAGGCUCUCGGCCCAACAGUCAAGACUGUUGGGUUGACUAGUGUCAUUAUUGCAAUAAUUAAUCGAUAUUGAAUAAAGAUUGUUUGACGACAUGACA
Molecule: non-coding RNA, 566 nt
Organism: Oncorhynchus mykiss (rainbow trout)
Lineage: Eukaryota; Metazoa; Chordata; Actinopteri; Salmoniformes; Salmonidae
Source: RefSeq, a predicted model, not a curated record